This 484-nucleotide ribosomal RNA is filed under the name uncultured bacterium. RNAcentral describes it as "partial 16S ribosomal RNA". It matches the Rfam family "Bacterial small subunit ribosomal RNA", at positions 30 to 507 of the family's 1533-position model. The record is from RNAcentral.
AUUGAACGCUGGCGGCAGGCCUAACACAUGCAAGUCGAGCGGAUGAAGGGAGCUUGCUCCUGGAUUCAGCGGCGGACGGGUGAGUAAUGCCUAGGAAUCUGCCUGGUAUUGGGGGAUAACGUCCGGAAACGGGCGCUAAUACCGCAUACGUCCUGAGGUAGAAAGUGGGGGAUCUUCGGACCUCACGCUAUCAGAUGAGCCUAGGUCGGAUUAGCUAGUUGGUGGGGUAAGGGCCUACCAAGGCGACGAUCCGUAACUGCUCUGAGAGGAUGAUCAGUCACACUGGAACUGAGACACGGUCCAGACUCCUACGGGAGGCAGCAGUAGGGAAUAUUGGACAAUGGGCGAAAGCCUGAUCCAGCCAUGCCGCGUGUGUGAAGAAGGUCUUCGGAUUGUAAAGCACUUUAAGUUGGGAGGAAGGGCAGUAAGUUAAUACCUUGCUGUUUUGACGUUACCAACAGAAUAAGCACCGGCUAACUUCGUG